GCCUGGCUGGCUCAGUCUGUAGAGCAUGUGAUUCUCGAUCUUGGGGUUGCGAGUUCAAGCCCCAUGUUGGGCA
RNAcentral lists this transfer RNA (73 nucleotides) under Felis catus (domestic cat). It matches the Rfam family "tRNA". Rfam says of the family: Transfer RNA (tRNA) molecules are approximately 80 nucleotides in length. Their secondary structure includes four short double-helical elements and three loops (D, anti-codon, and T loops). Lineage: Eukaryota; Metazoa; Chordata; Mammalia; Carnivora; Felidae. The record is from Rfam by way of RNAcentral.